Non-coding RNA from Callithrix jacchus (white-tufted-ear marmoset), 3071 nucleotides. NCBI's taxonomy places the organism in Eukaryota, Metazoa, Chordata, Mammalia, Primates, Cebidae. The record is from RefSeq and is a predicted model, not a curated record.
UUUGGCAACUCCAUUCUCCUGGGCUCUGAGGGCUUCUUAAGAUAAGAACCAAGGGGCUUUUCAAAAUCACACCAUGACCACAGUUGUUUUGUGGGAGCUGGUAGCUUCUUCUAUCACUCUAGAUCUUUGACACCAGAAGGCUGCCUGGCUCCAAAUUCUUAAAAAUUGAAGAUGUCAGAGGAUGCAGCGGGUGAGUCCUGUGGACAUCAGAGGGGCUUCGACGCUGUGGAGCUGCUGUUCAGGUGGACACUGCUGGCCUCGAUCCCAUCAUGGAGACCACAUGGAUGCUGGGAAUGCAUCUCCCAUUGGCCGAGCUGAGGAUAUGAGUGGGCCAUGGAUGUUCCUGUGUGGCUUCAUUGGUGCAGAGGAGGAUCUGUUUACACCGACGGGCUCAUAUUGAUCCUUCUCGGGGAGGGGAAUGACAAUGCUGGCCUCUGUUUCGUCUCUGGAGUAUGCUGGAAGUGCUUGCCCCACCCCGGAGGGUGUCCUGUGAUCCCUCUUGGUUGGUGUGAUACUGAAUUACACCCCUGGAGGGUGAGCUCAUUCCUGGUCUCAGAAAACAAGUUUCUAACCAGGGUUGGGAUAGAGGAAAAACUCCAGGUAUUGGGUUCUUUGAGAAGCCCAUUGUCUCCAUGAAGUAAGUUGAAGGCACUGUUUUUUCAGAGUUGGGUCUCUGGAAAACAGGGAAGUCCACAGUUUCAUUUAAAAUGUACAUGAAAUGUCUCUGGGGAUACGAUGGAGAAAAAUUCUGAAAUAUACAUAACACUGAAAUCUCUGGGGUUUGAAUAUCACACAUCUUUUCCCCAAAGCCUUUAAAUCAUAUCAUGGUCUCUUUUUUAAAAAAACUUCAGCUGUCGUUUUGCUGGUGAGUUUUGUUUUCCUCCUUCAGAAACACUAUGGGCAUUUCAGGCCCAGUGUCCUGCUAUAGAGGAUAUGAAGUAGUAAAGAGAAGCACAGAGGGUCGUCUGCUGGAUCAGGAGACAGGGCCCAGGACAGAGAGGGCCUUGGGAGCAAAUGUCUGGAUUGCCAAAUCAGACUGUGUCUCCUAGGGACCAUCCUCACCUCAAGGUGGAGCCCUAGCAUGUGCUCCUCAUUACAUUCUUUGUUUUAAUAAUUUUUUUUUUUUUAGAGACGGGGUUUCACCAUGUUGGCCUGGCUGAUCUUGAAUUCCUGACCUCAGGUGAUCCACCCGCCUCGGCCUCCCAAAGUACUGGGAUUACAGGUGUGAGCCACCACGCCCGGCCAUUCCCCAUCACAUUCUUAUGACUUUCUUUUCAGCAGACUGAGGGAUCUACUAUAACUUUUCCCUGACCUGGCUUCACCAGUACAUGACAUUAGCAAAAUUAGCCUAUUCUUUAGUGACCUUCAAGAAAUUCUUUUUUUUUUUUAAAUAGAGACAGGGUUUUGCUAUGUUGACCAAGCUGGUCUUGAACUCUUGGGCUCAAGCGAUCCGCACACCUUGGCCUCCCCAAAUACUGGGAUUACAGGUAUGAGACACCACGCCUGGCCAAGAAACUCUGUCCCCACAUCUCUGUCUACUCUGGCCUCACCUCUGGGUAGAAUAAGGCACAGAAUCCACACCAUCCUCUUCCUUGAAUGCCCUCCAAUUUGGCUUCAGGAACCCUUGCUGGUCCCUAUAUGCAGAACCCUGGGACAGCUUAGCCUAUUUCCUCUUCUCUAGUCGGCUUCCUUUCAAUCCAUUCCCCACUCUGUAGCAAAUCUGCCUGUCAUUCCCCAACUUGAAGGGUUUUAACAGAUUUGCCGAGUUUUGAGGAAAAGUAUAAAGCUGUUUGUGUGGCAUUCAGAGUCCUUUGGAUUCUGGCACCUCUUCACCUCUCUCGCUUUAUCGUGUGCACACCAAGCUUCUUCCAGCCAGAUCUGCCCUGUGUUUCUGGCUGGCUUACCCCACACAAGUAUCCCACUGCCCCCAGUCUCUGCCUCUUCUUGCAGACUGCGAACAAGCAGGGUGGCAUCCUAUUUGUCUUCCUCUCCCCAGAACUUCACAAAAUACAGGUGGCAAAAUACACGGGCUCAGAAAUUGUUUGCUGAGUCAUUUUCAGUUGCAGUCUUUCCUAAUAUGUAUUAUAUACCUUUUUAAACAAAGCGAACUCAACAAACUGUAAUUGUUUCUUCCAGCUCAGUUGUUCUCCUGCAGAGACUGCUAGAUCACAAUUGUAUCAGGAUACCAUGUAGUCCUUAUGUUCCAGACUUGGGAGUGAAAGGAAAGCAUAUUUAGAGGGUGAUCUUGUAUUAACUAACAGCUUUUACAAACGAGUUGGACCAAAUGAUUCCACUCUUAGGACCCUAUAUUAUAAAAAUGCAAUUUUUGAGAUCAAAAUACUGGAACUAAUGGUUAAAAGGUGCAGCCACAUUGAUACCGCAGAAAAUUAGAUAGCUGUUAUUAAGGGGGGAGAUUUGUAUUUCUUUUCUUUCCUUUUUAUUUUUUUAUAAAGACAGGGUCCUUCUUUAUUGGUCAGGCUGGAGUGCUGCAGUGGUGCGAUUCUAGUUCACUGUAGCCUUGAAAUCCUGGGCUCAGGAGACCCUCCUUCCUGAGCCUUACAAAUAGCUGGAACUACAACCGCGAGCCUCCAUGCCCAGCUGAUUAUGUUAUUCUGUAGAGAUAGGGUCUUGCUUUGUUGCCCAGACUUGCCUCAAACUUCUGGGCUCAAGCCAUCCUCCUACCUCAGCCUGCCAAAGUGCUGGGAUUGCAGGAGUGAGCUGCCAUGCUUGGCCAGUUGUGUUUCUGACAUGAAGGACGCCUACGGUAUCAAGUGGUGAAGAAAGUGAAUUGGAGAAAAAUUUGAACAGUAUCAUCCUCAAACAUUCACGUGCAAUUUUUUUUGUAUGUAUAGAGAACGAUUUCAAAGGUUAUGUGUGAAACAGAAGACCAUGUCCAUUCCUGGGACUGGGAUAUAGAAAAGAGUAGGAGGAAUGGUUGAUUUUCUUUUUCUUUUUUUUUUGAGACAGAAUUUCACUCUUGUUGCCCAGGCUAGAGUGCAAUGACGUGAUCUUGGCUCACUGCAACCUCUGCCUCCCGAGUUCAAGUGAUUUUCCUGCCUCAGCCUCCUGAG